Long non-coding RNA from Clarias gariepinus (North African catfish), 595 nucleotides. RefSeq lists it as uncharacterized. The transcript is spliced from 4 exons. Lineage: Eukaryota; Metazoa; Chordata; Actinopteri; Siluriformes; Clariidae. The record is from RefSeq and is a predicted model, not a curated record.
CAGACACAAGCUCACACACACACACACACACACACAGACAUACAGUAUUAUACACAUUCCUGAUAAUGAAACUGAUGCAAUCUAACACACAACUAUGCCAAACUAUGGGUUUCAUUUUAUUUGUUUUUUUCUUGGACACCACUCAGGCUUCUCCUCAAGUAGCCUACGUGAUUCAUGUUAAAGAUACCACAUAUUAUGAGGAGUUUCAAUGUGUAACAGAACCAGAGGCGGAAAACACCAAAUACAGCUGGCGCAGACAGAACUGGACUGAACUUCCACAGGGAGUGGAAGUGAAGGGAGAUAGACUGCAUUUCCGGAAGUCGACCCCUGACCUCAAUGGUGUAUACAUAUGUGAGGUAGUGAACCAGUACGGUGUUGCAGCGGGAUCGCUCUAUCGACACAUGGGUAACUCUGAUACCCGUUCAGAGCUCUAACAGGGAAGCCGUGAAACAUCAUCUUGGAUGAGUUGGAAGAAAAACUCAGAAUAAUGAAGAAGACUCAAGAAGAAACCCUUUUAAAGCAAUUUAGGAUUUAAUUUUUGCUUCUAGAUAAGGUUUAGAUCCAUAAUAUUGGUGCUAUUUAUAUAUAUAUAUAU